UGCGUAGGUGGUAUGGCAAGUCAGAAGUGAAAACCCAGGGCUUAACUCUGGGACUGCUUUUGAAACUGUCAGACCGGAGUGCAGGAGAGGUAAGCGGAAUUCCUAGUGUAGCGGUGAAAUGCGUAGAUAUUAGGAGGAACAUCAGUGGCGAAGGCGGCUUACUGGACUGAAACUGACACUGAGGCACGAAAGCGUGGGGAGCAAACA
Molecule: ribosomal RNA, 207 nt
Filed under: uncultured bacterium
Lineage: Bacteria
Description: partial 16S ribosomal RNA
Rfam family: Bacterial small subunit ribosomal RNA
Source: RNAcentral